Molecule: long non-coding RNA, 268 nt
Organism: Lolium rigidum
Lineage: Eukaryota; Viridiplantae; Streptophyta; Magnoliopsida; Poales; Poaceae
Exons: 3
Source: RefSeq, a predicted model, not a curated record
CCUGUUGUUGAUUUUUUACUUGCCAAUCAGAAGGUUGAUCACCCGAAUGAAAUUUAUCGUGGGAAAGGUCAAGCGUGCAGUCAAGAAUUUAAGGAUAAAAACAAGCCCGGCAAACACAGAGCACACGACCAUUGGCUUGAGUCAUGAACAUAUUCUAAUCUGCUAUGUGCGUCUGGAUGCUUCUCAGGUGGCAAACUAAAUCAAGUUUGAUGAGAUGUCUGAGCCAGGGCAGUACCCAAACCUCCGCUGGCAGCGCCCUGGUGCAGGA